AUCGUGAAGGAGAUGGGGCAGGAUAGAGGUCGCAUGCCUCCGCAUCAUCCAUUGCUUGGAUGACCUUGCCCCACACAUUGUCCUCUCCAGUGCAGGCCUUUCCUUGUCGAUUGGCAUGAGGUGCUGACCAUGGGUUUAGAGAUGGUUGUUGCGCUCUCUCCCGAUAUAUGUAUGGUUGGUGAUGAAGUUCUCCAAUGCCAAAGAAACAUUGAGUUCUCCACUGCACACCAGAUAUCUACACCACCUUUCCUAUGAUUGGUCUGCUGCUAUUCUGAAGACUUAUCUGUUCUAUAUCAGAUGAGAUUAAAAUGUCUGUGUUUUGUUCAUUGGAAGGUCCAAGUUUUGAUAUUACAAAUCGUGAGUGCAAUAGUGUGCAAAAAAAAAAAGUUCCUAACUUGUUUCUUGUAAUGAUAAAGACUGUCUCCGGACCUUGGUUACUGAAUACCUGUUGGUGUGUUCUGCAUUUUUUUUCCAUGCGACGUAUUCUACUUUUCUACAGAAAUUCCAUGUCUCACUCUCCACCAGGUGAUGUGUAAGAUCUUCCUUACAGAAUUAUAGCUUUUUAGUUACAUAAUCAUCUCUAGCAGGUACAAAGAUAAAUAAC
Panicum virgatum (switchgrass) is the source of this 604-nucleotide long non-coding RNA. RefSeq lists it as uncharacterized. The transcript has 3 exons. The record is from RefSeq and is a predicted model, not a curated record. Lineage: Eukaryota; Viridiplantae; Streptophyta; Magnoliopsida; Poales; Poaceae.